ACACAUCUUGGCAGGGGAGCAAACGUGAACAGCAAGGUUCUUCUCCCACGUUAAGGCUAGCCCCAUUGCACAUUGAGCGCGUUGAUGCCUGUGAUAGCCCCAAACGCAGAAUAUUCUACUGCAAAAUUUAUGGUUGUUGGGGGACCGCACUUGUGCUUUCCCUUG
Molecule: small nuclear RNA, 165 nt
Organism: Pristis pectinata (smalltooth sawfish)
Lineage: Eukaryota; Metazoa; Chordata; Chondrichthyes; Rhinopristiformes; Pristidae
Product: U1 spliceosomal RNA
Exons: 1
Source: RefSeq, a predicted model, not a curated record